GUGAAUGUUGGGUUAAGUCCCGCAACGAGCGCAACCCUUGCCAUUAGUUGCUACGAAAGGGCACUCUAAUGGGACUGCCGGUGACAAACCGGAGGAAGGUGGGGAUGACGUCAAGUCCUCAUGGCCCUUAUAGGUGGGGCUACACACGUCAUACAAUGGCCGGUACAGAGGGUAGCCAACCCGCGAGGGGGAGCCAAUCCCACAAAGCCGGUCGUAGUCCGGAUCGCAGUCUGCAACUCGACUGCGUGAAGUCGGAAUCGCUAGUAAUCGCGGAUCAGCAUGUCGCGGUGAAUACGUUCCCGGGUCUU
This 308-nucleotide ribosomal RNA is filed under the name uncultured Allobrachymonas sp. RNAcentral describes it as "bacterial SSU rRNA". It matches the Rfam family "Bacterial small subunit ribosomal RNA", at positions 1067 to 1382 of the family's 1533-position model. Lineage: Bacteria; Pseudomonadati; Pseudomonadota; Betaproteobacteria; Burkholderiales; Comamonadaceae. The record is from RNAcentral.